This is a long non-coding RNA of Gadus morhua (Atlantic cod), 2035 nucleotides long. RefSeq lists it as uncharacterized. Lineage: Eukaryota; Metazoa; Chordata; Actinopteri; Gadiformes; Gadidae. The record is from RefSeq and is a predicted model, not a curated record. The transcript is spliced from 6 exons.
ACAGACUUUAUCCUGAUUACUGUGUUACACUGUUUAUCAGACUUGUCAGAGGCUCCUGGAUGAGACUGCAAUGCUAGCAGAGCUAAAAACCCAGCUACAUCUCUCAGAUUAAAUGGUGUCACAGUGGAUCUCAGAUGUGAUGGAAUGGGCAGCUGGUGAGACACGAGAUGCAUCUGACAACCUGCAAGGCACCACACACACAGGGCUUCAGCGGUCCAUUGAGGGGCUCUACCUCAGUGUGAGGCAGCGGAAGCUAAAUCUGUACCGUCAGAAUGACAGCAACAAGCUUCGCCACCGGCUUCGGAGGAAGCUGGCAGAAGAGAAAAAGCUCCUUUUUCAGGAGAUACAAAAGCACAACAAGCUUGACUCUGCAGCCAACAUCGAUGCAGCUGUGGUGGAGCACUCCCUGAGUGGAGAGAGCACUGUGUCCCCAAUAUGGCCUUGGGAGGUUCAUGACAGCGCAAACAUUGGAACCAAGAAACGGCUUCAUGACCAAGUCAUGACAACAAAGCGACUGCAGGAGGAAAAAAACAUUCUGGUGAUGGAGAUGGCACAACACUGCACAUGGUUGCAGAACCUGGCAUUGGUUCUCAAAAACAAGGUGGCUGAGUCGGGUGGAGAGUCUGGAGACAAAGGAGCUGAAGGACUUUGCAGUCUCUUGAGGAGAAGAAACACAGAGGUGUCAGAGGGGUUGCAAGUGGUCCUGCAAAAAUACAAGACUGCUUUAGGUCCUGAGGCCUCUGUCAUUCAAAAUAUUGAAGAGGAAGACCAAAGUGUCCACAGCAGUCCAGACACCAGUGAGGAUGAAGAGGAAAGCAUAAUUUAGAUUGAAGCUGCACUGAGGAUGGACUAAGGAAAUGGACUUGCCUAGAAAGCACUAAUGUGAUAAAACAUGCAUUCGGGCGUCUUAUAUUAUUUCACACGCAUAGAUAUUAACUUGGCACUAUGGGGGAGGGAACCAAGGAAGGCAGGCUUUCCUAUGAUUGGCCGUUGUGAAGCGCGAUAUUUGAUUGACAGCCCUCCUCAGCCCGAAUUCAGCCAAGGGUUUCUUACUUGAAGGGACCUUCGCCCAGACGUGAUUGUCUUCUGAGUUUCAGCCAUUGACUACAAUACAGAAUGAAUGAGAGGAGGGCUGAGGAAGGCUCUCAAUCAAAUAUCGUGCUUCAGAAACAGCCAAUCAUAGGAAAGCACGCCCUGCCUUGAUUCCCUCCCACAUAGUGCCAAAAUUAAAUUUGAGCGAGAGAGCAUAACAUCAUUCGCGAGAGGCUGUUUUGUAUGACCAAAGUUAUUCCCCCCUCUCGCUUUCAACGAGGUAAUGCUCUCGAGGAUCUUUUUUCCUGGCUCGGGGAGCUGCGCUCUGAGUGCGGACGUGCGCACAGAUAAUUUGGGCGCUCGCAGUUAACAUCUACGUGUAUGAAAUAAUAUAAUACGCCCGAAUGCAUGUUUUAUCCCAUUAGUGCUUUAUGGCACUAAUGUGUCGCCAUACUCAACCGCUUAUCCUGGCAACUUCACACCUGACACUGCACCCUUGGGUCUUCUGCAAUACACCCACCAAGUGUAAAAUAAAUCAGAUGAACACUACUAACUGCUUCCUGUCAACUGACAGCAGUCAGCUGACCGUCAUUACAUCGCUGUAGCACGUGAACAUUCAUUGGUGCCAUACUUGACAGCUCUCCACACAGUUACAUAGCAUUGUGGUGAAUGUUCAGACCUCUGUUUCAUCUCUCCCCUUCCAGCGUCACAGAUUAUCAAUCUUGGUGAUGGAGGCACUAGCAUUUUGGUGUGUUAUUUAGUUAAUGUGUGUAAAAGAUGACUUCCUUAAAUGUCUUGUUUUGUUCGGGAUUCAAAGAUAUUCAGUUGACAGAAUAUAUAGAAGUAUAAAGAAACCAGAAAAUAUUACAUUUGAGAAUCUGGAAUCUGAUCAUUUUGAAUUUUUUUAUUUUUCAAAAAAUGAAAAAGUGAUUAAUCGUUCAUCCAAACAGUUGGUUAUUAAUUAAAAUCAAAUAGUUGCAUGUCAUGUAAAAUGUAAAUCAAG